ACGACAAUAGCAAACCCGGCGAAAGCCGGCGACGCAAAGCUAUAGGGCCUUACCCCCGCAGAAAACAGGGUCUCCUGUUCGGGGCUGGCAGCCAGUUACCGA
This 102-nucleotide non-coding RNA is filed under the name mouse gut metagenome. Its description in RNAcentral is "Cyclic di-GMP-I riboswitch". It matches the Rfam family "c-di-GMP-I riboswitch aptamer". From Rfam's summary of the family: GEMM was predicted in a large-scale screen for bacterial structured RNA regulatory elements. Genes associated with GEMM are involved in a diverse array of functions, including chemotaxis regulation, signal transduction, secretion and chitin. RNAcentral also lists the same sequence under 1 other name. The record is from RNAcentral.